RNA transcript from Triticum aestivum (bread wheat), 2221 nucleotides. RefSeq lists it as uncharacterized. The transcript has 3 exons. The record is from RefSeq and is a predicted model, not a curated record. NCBI's taxonomy places the organism in Eukaryota, Viridiplantae, Streptophyta, Magnoliopsida, Poales, Poaceae.
GGCAAAAAAAAGUUUCUACUUGCCCUGUUCUUGCAACUAAACAGAGAAAAACUGUGUGGUUACUGAAGCAUUAUGGUCUAUAGUUACCGAAGCAUUGCAUUUGUUGAGAAAGUGUUCCUUAUACCAUGUAAGUAGGGACAAUUACUAUUUAACUAGGUACAAUUAAUAUUUAACAAGCCACAGUUGAUCAAGUAGUCAAUGCUUAAAUAUGCCCGCACUCUGUCGUAUCCAGGAUGGAGCUUUGCUAGCUUUUGAGUUGGAUUCUUUUGACUGCACCUAAAUAUGACAAGCCGACAGUAAAUGAGCUCAUUUUAAAAAACUGCAGUUUAAAGGAAAUUAUUACAAUAUGUAUAUCAAUUCCAACAUUGCUAUCUGAAGGAUGAUUUAAGGACUAUUUGUCUCUGAUGGCUUUCCCUGUUUGGCUCCCUUUUAUGUGAGUUGACUCUACAGUUCUAGGAUCUUCUCUGUAACCAUAAAUUCACAGCUUAGCAAAAGUAUAUAUAUACUUGCUAGACCUUCUCAUUACACUCUUUCACUUUUUUGGACUAAUACUAUCCUGUAUAGACCUAAUAACAGAAGACAUGGGAAAUGCUUUCGUAACAUGAUGUUUUUUUUUGUUAGAUGCUCUGUUUAUUUAGUGUCGUUGAUCCAAAAACCUGAAAGUGUAGAAAUGUUCAUGCAUGGGACUAUAGAACCAAGUAUUUCUCGAUUUGGUGAUGCUUAAUUCAGAGUUCUUAUGCAUCAGAUUGGAGUGUUAACACAAACCUGUUAUUUAUUUCACUUCAUAUGAGUUAAUGCCAAGGCCUUUUUUGUGUCCCCUCUAAUCAUUGCAUCUGUAUCUUGAUCAUUGUAUUACGAGAAGCAAAAUAUUUCUCAUGUUUUGCUCAGUGUGUCUACUUAUCUUAUUUAUUAUAUUAACUAUUUUUUGAUGAUAUUUCACAAGAAUGACAUUGUUAGAUUUAGAUUCGUUAGGUUUCAACACAUUUGAUGGUAGGCCAUUUCAAUAAUUCUAUUUGUUUCAGGCAUUGGUAGAUUGUGUUACAACUGAAGAGUUUCUUGUGCUAAUACUUGCAGAUCUCGACACACCCUGAACAAUGAGCACAUGUUACCAGCCACAUUCCACACAGGAUGUGUUCUUUUCAAAACAAAGAUACCCUGAUACAUGAUUAUUCCUCUUUCAAGUUCUUGAUCCUUGAAGAUACUUGCUAGGUUUCUAGCUGAUUUUUUGGUAGUAUAAGGCUAUAAGCUCGAUGUAUAUGGCCUGAAUAUGAUCUGAUUCAGAGUACAUUGUGUUCUGAAGCUUUUUGCUGUAUGGUUCUCUCUUGAAAGAAUUCAAGCCAUUGUUCAAUGGGAGAGAAUAGUUGUAAUCCUCAAAUAACUGUCGUACCUAUUCAUCAGCUGACACAAUUGCCACCGAGAUCAUUAUUUUCCUUUUUUUUCAGGUUUUCAACAUCACGAAUUUCAUACUUAUGGAGUGGAGCUACCAAAAUAUCUAUUGAGGAAAUAUGUCGAAGCACAGAAUAUAUUCCAUAUGCAGUGGACUAACAGAACGACACAACACAUAAAAAGAGGAGCAUAAGUGGAAACCUUUCUUUCUCUUUAAAUUCUUGAGGACUGUAACAUUAUGAUGAAGGUGGAACCAUAGAGAGAUGUGUAUUUUUAAUUGAGAUAUUUUCAGGAGUACCUUUGCAAAGCUGAUAUAUCUUUCUUUUACAAGAUAUGGUUGCACUUGCUUCAUCUACAUAGGCCGUCUGGAAUGCCAUGAGGCCGGGAUUUGUCUACCACCUCUUCACUAAAUGACAGAGGUUGCCAGCAGCUGCACAUGGAAAGAUUGAAUGUUAUAUUCUGUCUACUAAUCAAUAAGGAGGGAGAUCAAAAUUAAUGCUCUCAAAUAUUCGCCUGAUCAUUUGUAUGUUUCUGCAAUUUUCCUGCUUGUUGGAACAUGUUUGAUGUACUUACACAUUAACAAAAAUGAUCUGUAACAUUCAUGAAAAUAUUUGGGUUUGGUCCUCUGCUUUUUUACUGUUUAUUUACUCAUGAAGAUAGCAGAUGUCCCUGUUUUUAAAUAUAGUUAUCUGUGCUUCCAGUUGGUAGAGAUCAAAGUAUUAACUCGCCGAUGUAGGGGAAAAGAGCUCUUUUAUAGACACUACUAGCAGUGGAUACAGGGUGAGCCGUUUUGAAAUUGUUUCAUAGAAUAACUCCCGUAUAAGGUCUGGUCUUU